This 481-nucleotide ribosomal RNA is filed under the name uncultured bacterium. Its description in RNAcentral is "partial 16S ribosomal RNA". It matches the Rfam family "Bacterial small subunit ribosomal RNA", at positions 28 to 507 of the family's 1533-position model. The record is from RNAcentral.
GAUGAACGCUGGCGGCGUGCUUAACACAUGCAAGUCGAACGAAGCACUUUAUUUGAUUUCCUUCGGGACUGAUUAUUUUGUGACUGAGUGGCGGACGGGUGAGUAACGCGUGGGUAACCUGCCUUGUACAGGGGGAUAACAGUUGGAAACGGCUGCUAAUACCGCAUAAGCGCACAGCAUCGCAUGAUGCAGUGUGGAAAACUCCGGUGGUAUAAGAUGGACCCGCGUUGGAUUAGCUAGUUGGUGAGGUAACGGCCCACCAAGGCGACGAUCCAUAGCCGACCUGAGAGGGUGACCGGCCACAUUGGGACUGAGACACGGCCCAAACUCCUACGGGAGGCAGCAGUGGGGAAUAUUGCACAAUGGGCGAAAGCCUGAUGCAGCGACGCCGCGUGAGCGAAGAAGUAUUUCGGUAUGUAAAGCUCUAUCAGCAGGGAAGAUAAUGACGGUACCUGACGAAGAAGCACCGGCUAAAUACGUG